GAUGAACGCUGGCGGCGUGCCUAAUACAUGCAAGUCGAGCGAACAGACGAGGAGCUUGCUCCUCUGACGUUAGCGGCGGACGGGUGAGUAACACGUGGAUAACCUACCUAUAAGACUGGGAUAACUUCGGGAAACCGGAGCUAAUACCGGAUAAUAUAUUGAACCGCAUGGUUCAAUAGUGAAAGACGGUUUUGCUGUCACUUAUAGAUGGAUCCGCGCCGCAUUAGCUAGUUGGUAAGGUAACGGCUUACCAAGGCAACGAUGCGUAGCCGACCUGAGAGGGUGAUCGGCCACACUGGAACGGAGACACGGUCCAGCCUCCUACGGGAGGCAGCAGUAGGGAAUCUUCCGCAAUGGGCGAAAGCCUGACGGAGCAACGCCGCGUGAGUGAUGAAGGUCUUCGGAUCGUAAAACUCUGUUAUUAGGGAAGAACAAAUGUGUAAGUAACUAUGCAUGUCUUGACGGUACCUAAUCAGAAAGCCACGGCUAACUACGUG
Molecule: ribosomal RNA, 497 nt
Filed under: uncultured bacterium
Lineage: Bacteria
Description: partial 16S ribosomal RNA
Rfam family: Bacterial small subunit ribosomal RNA
Source: RNAcentral